This 7245-nucleotide long non-coding RNA is filed under the name Nicotiana benthamiana. RNAcentral's name for it is "long non-coding RNA (NBEN_LNC019666)". Lineage: Eukaryota; Viridiplantae; Streptophyta; Magnoliopsida; Solanales; Solanaceae. The record is from RNAcentral.
ACCCCCCUUCUCCGGCGACCCCCAGUAAGGUACCUUUCUCCUCUCUCUCAGGAUUAGCAAUGCCACGCUCGAUGAAAAUAGGUGCCGCAUGAGCAAAUACUCUCCGAAAUCCACUCAAUUUCGCCACUCUGAAGUUGAUCAGAUCAGGAAAUGUACACCGAGCACUCCUCUAUGCUCUACCAACAACACAACAUCAAAAUGUGACAGAGACAGAGUAUAUACCACAAUGAUGAGAUAAAAGACUUCAUUUUUUCUCGUUUUAUCUAUUGGAGUUACAUUGGGCCUGCAGCCCAAUCCAGUGAAUCAGCCUCAACAACAAAGCAGCAGCAGCCCAAACCAAGCCCAAGCUGCACCUUUAUUUAUUUCUAGCCCAAUGGACCAAUGGCCCAAUGUAUUGUAAAAGAAACAAUAUAGUAGAUAUUUUGUAUAUGUACAGAUAGAUUAGAUGGUUUUUUCUUCCGGAAGCUUCUGGGAAGUUACAGAGACUCAGUCUCGUUUUUCUCUCUGUGUAAUAAUGAAGAACUUUUCUUCUUUCUCUCUCAAUAAUCUGAAAAUCAACACCGUUCAUGCAUGGCAAUCGUUAAUCUUCACAUUAUCUCCGCUCCCGUUUUAGGUUAGCUGAUUAAAACUAGUUCAUAAGCAUUAUAUGCUAAAAACACCUUUUAGUACUAAAACCAAUUUUGGAUUACGAUUCCGCUUCUCACGCACUCCGUCACGAUGUUACUCUCAUCAUUUUCCAUCAAAGUUUCUGUGUUCUCCGACAAAUCUAGGUUUUUCUCCAUUUCUCUAUUUUUUUUUUGGAUAAUCCUCGGUGUUUGUUGAUUUUCUCUGAGUUUUCUGAGUUUUCUACGCUUCAUACUUUCUUUCCUCAGUUUCAGCCGAUUUUUGGAAUUUUUUGUGUACCUAGGACCAUUUAGGUUUAUUCUAUCUUACAAAUUCCAAGCCCUUUCUCAGUCAAAAUGGUUAAUACUGGUGAUACCUCUGAGUCUAGGACUGAUAAUUUUGUAAUUGACCCUUCGAAUACUUUGUUUCUGUUGUCUUCUGAUGUUCCGGAGAGUCUAGGACUGUUAAUUUUGUGAUUGAACCUUCAAAUCCUUUGUUUCUGUUGUCUUCUGAUGUUCCGGGAAUCUCUUUGGUAAGCAAUCAUUUUUCAGGGAUUGGUUUUGGGGGUUGGAGACGUAACAUAAUCCUCUCAUUAUCCGCUAGAAAUAAGAUAGGUUUCAUUAACGGAACACUUCCCAAACCUCCAGAUAACUCUCCUCAAUCUAGACAAUGGGAUAGGUGCAACAACAUGGUUAUAUCUUGGCUUACCAAUUCCCUUGCCCCAGAGAUAGCAGAGAGUGUUCAAUAUUCUGACACUGCUCAAAGCAUAUGGAACCAGCUGAAUAGUCGAAAUGGGACUGUUAAUGGCACCAGGAUAUUUGAGAUUAAGCAGGAAUUGGCAUCAACAAAUUAGGGGUCUUUGGAUAUAGCAUCGUAUUUCAACAGGUUGAAGAAACUGUGGGAUGAGCUGGGUUUCAUGCGUGCAUCUCGUGGUAACACUUGCACAUGCAAUGCCAGAUCCGAGCUCCAAAGGGAGGAUGAUGAAAACAAAUUGCAUCAGUUUCUUAUGGGGCUCAAUGACAUCUAUGUAGGAGUCAGGAGCAACAUUCUCAUGUUACAGCCUCCACCAACUCUGGAUUGUGCAUACAACAUUUUACUCUAAGAUGAGAGACAAAGACAAGUUUCAUCACCUUCCCAGUUUCGCCAUGAUUCGAGUGCUUUCAACACUCACUUCAGCAACAAAUCUUCUCAUAUCACCAAAUUUCCUCCCACAGCUGGGUACCCUAAGCAAUUCAAUCAGAGAAUCAAUUUUGACCUCAACAGGGCAAACUUAGUAUGUAGGUAUUGUAAGAAACCUGGACACCUCAUUGACAAGUGCUACAAACUUCACGGAUUUCCAUCAGACUUCAAAUUCACAAAAGGUGUUCCAUCAGACUUCAAAUUCACAAAAGGAAGGAGGAGUGCAGCACAUGUUGAAGUACAGGGGUGUCUAAACUCUGCUGAAACUCAGAACAGUACUGCCAAUGCUCAGGGGGCUUCUGAAUCAGAGUCUCUCAUACCUGGGGGAAUCCAAACUCUGCUGGUACUCAGAACAGCAAUGCCAAUGCUCAGGGGGUUUCUGAAUCAGAUUCUCUCAUACCUGGUUUAACCAAAGAUCAAUACUCACAGCUUAUGUUGCUUCUUCAACAGACACAAAUUUCAGAAUCUAUGGCAUCAUCCAACUUUGCUGGUAACCUUUCUUCCACCACUCACUUAAAGAAUGUAUCCUAUGGUGCCUGCAUGUUAACUAAAUUAAGUGACUGCAUUUGGAUUAUAGAUUCUUGUGCCACUGAUCACAUGACCUCCAAUAAAGACCUUCUGUUUGACAUUAAGCCUUUAACUAUACCUUAUCUAGUUACCUUACCCAAUGGUUAUAAGGUUAAGUAACCUGCACUAGGUCAAUUCAGUUUCUUUGUUUCACUCUACAUCAUGUCAUUUAUAUUCCCAGUUUUCAAUACAAUCUCAUCUCUGUGUCUAAACUUGUGUGCCAGUUGAAUUCUACUGUCCUAUUUACUAAAUUCUCUUAUUUAAUACAGGCCCCUUCUCUGAAGAGGCCACUAGAGAUUGGUAAAUUGGAUGAUGGUCUCUACAGGCUUGUUCAAUCUUCUUCUCUUCAGUCUGUUGAUCAUUGUAAAUCUCAUUCUCCAUUAACUGUUGGUUCUGUUUCUACCUCUCAUUGUUCAUAUCAUUCUGAAUCUAAUAAAAUGGAGAUUUCACGGCACAAUAGACUAGGGCAUAUACCUUUUGUUAGGAUGAAAGACAUGUCUUCUAUACCAUGUACAUUUUCAACAAACCAGCCUUUCCUUUGUCCUAUAUGUCCUCUGGUCAGGCAAUCCAGACUACCAUUUUCUGAUAGUUCCAUUUAAACAACACAUCCCUUUCAACUCAUCCAUGUUGAUACAUGGGGUCCCGAUGCCACUCCUACUCAUAAUGGUUGUAGAACUACCUUUUCCUGAUAGCUCCAUUAAAACAACACAUCCUUUUCAACUGAUUCAUGUUGAUACAUGGGGUCCCUAUGCCACUCCUAUUCAUAAUGGUUGUAGAUACUUUCUCACAAUUGUUGAUGAUUUUACCAGAGCAACUUGGACCCACCUUAUGGGAUCCAAGAGCAAUGCCUUUCCUCUUAUCAAAGCCUUCAUUGCCAUGAUUAAAACUCAAUUUCAGUCUAUGGUACAAACCAUUAGGAGUGAUAAUGCCUUUGAACUUGGCUCUAGUAGCUGUGGCAGCAAUUUCUUUGCUGAAAAUGGUAUACUGCAUCAAACUUCCUGCUCUCACACACCACAACAAAAUGGUGUAGUUGAGAGAAAGCAUAGAUAUCUGCUAGAAACCUCCAGGGCUUUACUCUUCCAUUCACAGCUCCCUAUUAGAUUCUGGGGUGACUGUGUACUUACUGCAACCUACUUAGAAACCUCCAGGGCUUUACUUUUCCAUUCCCAGCUCCCUAUUAGAUUCUGGGGUGACUGUGUACUUAGUGCAACCUACCUCAUUAACAGGUUUCCUUCCAAAAUUCUUCACAAUAAGUCCUCUUUUGAGUUGCUAUUUGGACAGAUUCCAUCCUAUAACCAUCUUAAAACUUUUGGUUGCCUCUGUUUUGCCUCAGUCCCUAAAUAGAAUAGGGACAAUUCCAACCUAGAGCUGAUCCCUGUGUUUUUCUGGGCUAUCCUUUGGGUAAAAAGGAUUACAAACUGUAUAACUUGAAGUCUAAAAUUACUCUAAUCUCCAGGGAUGUCAUUUUUCAUGAAGAUGUCUUUCCUUUUGCCUCUACAGGGAACUCUUUCCAUGGUUCCUUUCCUCCUCCUACUCCUUCUUCUGCCUGUAUUCCUCCUGUUGAUGACUUCUUACCCAAUCCUCCCUUAUCUCUCACCCAGCAACCUCUUGCUUCAGCUUCCCCUUGCUCUUCCCCUUCACACAAUCUUUCAGUGCCUACCUUAUCUGUUCCAGAAGAUCCACUAGGACACAUGUUCUUCCUGCUCACCUGCAGCAGUAUGUUUGCAAUCUUCCCCCUUCUAUCUCUGGCCCCAUUUCUUCUUCCACUUGUCUUCAUAGUUUAGUUAGCAUUACAGAGACUGAAACUUCCUCCUAUAAGCAGGCAGCCUCCAUUCCUGCUUGGCAGGAGGCAAUGGCCAAGGAAUUUGCAGCCUUGGAGGCCAAUCAUACCUGGUCUCUGGUUCCCCUUCCCCCUGACAAGAAACUUAUUGGUUGCAAGUGGGUUUAUAAGAUAAAAUAUAGGGCUGAUGGAUCUAUGGAGAGGCAUAAGGCCAGGCUGGUUGUUAGGGUUGACACCCAGAUUGAGGGGGUAGACUUUACUGAGACAUUCUCUCCUGUUGUCAAAUUUUCAACUAUUAAAUCCCUUAUUGCUGUGGCUGUCAAACAACAUUGGUCCCUUUUUCAAUUUGAUGUCAAUAAUGCCUUCCUACAUGGUGACUUAGCUGAGGAAGUCUAUAUCAUGUGGCUGUCAACCAACAUUUGUCCCUUUUCCGACUUGAUGUCAAUAAUGCCUUCCUACAUGGUGACUUAGAUGAGGAAGUCUAUAUGAAAUUGCUUCCUGGUCUGGAAGUUGACUGUGCUACCUCUUCUUCUCCUUUGGUUUGUGUACUUCAGAAAUCUUUAUAUGGUUUAAGGCAAGCUUCUAGGCAAUGGUAUGCCAAGCUGUCCCAGGCCUUAUGUUCUAAGGGUUUUUCUUCUUCUCUCAAUGAUUAUUCUCAUUUCCUUAAAAAAUCUGGCUCUUCUAUUGUUCUGUUGGCUGUAUAUGUUGAUGACAUCAUUCUUACUGGUAAUAAUCUGGAGGAGAUCACUGCCUUGAAAUGUUUUCUGGAUAAUGAGUUUAAAAUCAAGAACUUGGGGGUGCUUAACUACUUUUUGGGUAUUGAGGUCAGUUAUCUUCCUACUGGGAUUCUUCUCCACCAAAAGAAGUUUAUCAUUGACCUACUCAAAUCUCAUCACUGUGAGGCCCUGUUACUUGCCCUCUUGACCUCUCUGUUAAACUCAAGCUUGAUAUGGGUGAUCCCCUUCCCUCUCCUGAAUCCUAUAGGUGUCUAGUGGAAAAACUCAAUUUUCUCACCCAUUUUCUGGAUAAUGAGUUUAAAAUCAAGGACUUGGGGUGCUUAACUACUUUUUGGGUAUUGAAGUCAGUUAUCUUCCUAAUGGGAUUCUUCUCCACCAAAAGAAGUUUAUCACUGACCUACUCAAAUCUUAUCACUGUGAGGAUGUCUCCCCUGUUACUUGCCCUCUUGACCUCUCUGUUAAACUCAAGCUUGAUAUGGGUGAUCCCCUUCCCUCUCCUGAAUCCUAUAGGUGUCUAGUGGAAAAACUCAAUUUUCUCACCCACACUAGGCCUGACUUGGCCUUUGCUGUACAUCAUUUGAGUCAGCAUCUUCAGAAACCUACAUCCUCUCACAUGCUUGCUGCUUUGCAUACCCUGAGAUACCUUAGAGGCACUUCUGAGAUUGGCAUUUUUCUCAGCAACUCUCCUGGUCUCUCCUUAUCUGCUUAUUGUCAUAGAGAGACACUUCUGAGAUUGGCAUUUUUCUCAGCAACUCUCCUGGUCUCUCCUUAUCUGCUUAUUGUGAUAGUGACUGGGCUUCUUUGCCAAACACCAGGAGGUUUGUUUCUGGCUUCUGUGUUUUGUUAGGUGGUUCUCUCAUUGGUUGGAAAGCUAAGAAACAGCAUGUGGUAUCUCUGUCUUCUGCUGAGGCUGAGUAUAGAGCCAUCAGCAAGGUUGUUGGUGAACUAACCUGGCUCAUUCGGUUGUUGUCUGAUUUUGGGGAUCCUGUUACCACUCAUGUACCAGUCUAUUGUGAUAAUCAAGUAGCACUUCACAUUGCAAAGAAUCCUGUUUUUCAUGAGCGCACCAAACAUAUUAAGGUGGAUUGGGGUUCCUGUUACCUCCUCUGUCCCAAUCUUUUGUGAUAACCAAGUAGCACUUCACAUUGCAAAGAAUCCAGUUUUUCAUGAACGCACCAAACAUAGAAGUGGAUUGUCAUUUCAUGAGAAGCAAACUUCAUGAAGGACUAGUUGAUUGCACCAUGUCGCUACUACCUCUCAGCUUGCGGAUAUCUUUACCAAACCCCUUACUGGUAUUUUGCAUCAUUCUAUCAUGCUCAAGUUGGGAGUUUAGUCACCCUCCAACUUGCAGGGGGGUGUUGGAGUUACAUUGGGCAUGCAGCCCAAUCCAGUGAAUUAGCCUCAACAACAAAGCAGCAGCCCAAACCAAGCCCAAGCUGCACCUUUAUUUAAUUCUGGCCCAAUGGCCCAAUGUAUUGUAAAAGAAAUAAUAUAGUAGAUUUUGUAUAUGUACAGAUAGAUUAGAUGGUUUUUUCUUCCGGAAGCUUCUGGGCAGUUACAGAGACUCAGUCUCGUUUUUCUCUCUGUGUAAUAAUGAAGAACUUUUCUUCUUUCUCUCUCAAUAAUCUGAAAAUCAACACCGUUCAUGCAUGGCAAUCGUUAAUCUUCACAUUAUCUCCGCUCCCGUUUUAGGUUAGCUGAUUAAAACUAGUUCAUAAGCAUUAUAUGCUAAAAACACCUUUUAGUACUAAAACCAAUUUUAUAAAUAGGCGGCUACAUGUUUUCCAUGUUAGUUUGAUUAAGAGUGGUACACUAGUAUUUGUUAUGAACUAAAGUUUAGAUAUCCAAAAAGUAUAAUAAAUUGCAAUUCAGUUAUAUUAAAGUGUUGAAAAAAUAUAUUGUAUCAUACUGACCGAAGUUCAGUUAGUAGUUGAAACAUACCCAAACACACAAGUACGGAAAUAUUCUCCAAAAUCAAAGUUAAGUAUAUGAUUACCUGAGAGGAGGGAACCAAAGCAACAUACGGAGAAAAUUAAUACAACAAUUGUUAAAAAUUACUACUAAAUUUAACUAUUCUGAAGGUACAUAAAAGUAUCGAAAAUACAGAAAAUGUAACUUCCUAAAAGAUACUAGUCAAAGUUCACAUGUUGUAGGAUCAGAGGAAAUAUGAAUAUAUUAAUUUACCUGAGAGGAGAGAACCGAAGCCGCAAAUGGAGAUAAGUCCAUCGGAAGAGACAAUUCGAUCAAGGUCGGACUCAUUAGAGAGUUCCAAAGGAAAAUUAAUUUCAUCAUCGGCUGCAGCAGCGGCGGCGGAAGGCAUGGUGAAUUUUGGCGGGAAAAAUAUCUCCGGCGAGGAAAAGAGAAAUUGAGGGAACGAGG